CGUUAAAAAUUUUAUUCUUUUAUACUAUUAAAAAUUGGCAUGGCUGAUAGAAUAAUUAGAUAGUAACAUGUGAGAUGCCACGUGUAUAUCAUUUUGGCGUACAUGGACAAAUUUUUAACAACAGAAAUGGAUAAAAUUUUUAAUA
Non-coding RNA from Gossypium raimondii (Peruvian cotton), 145 nucleotides. Lineage: Eukaryota; Viridiplantae; Streptophyta; Magnoliopsida; Malvales; Malvaceae. The record is from Rfam.